This 463-nucleotide ribosomal RNA is filed under the name uncultured bacterium. RNAcentral's name for it is "partial 16S ribosomal RNA". It matches the Rfam family "Bacterial small subunit ribosomal RNA", at positions 28 to 507 of the family's 1533-position model. The record is from RNAcentral.
GACGAACGCUGGCGGCGUGCUUAACACAUGCAAGUCGAACGGUAAGGCCCUUCGGGGUGCACGAGUGGCGGACGGGUGGGUAACUCGUGAGUAACCGGCCCUUCACUCUGGGAUAACAGUUGGAAACGGCUGCUAAUACCUGAUGUUCAGCUCCCGUCGCAUGGGGGGGGGUGGGAAGGUUUGGUGGGUGGGGAUGGGCUCGCCUCCUAUCAGCUUGUUGGUGGGGUGAUGGCCUACCAAGGCGUCGACGGGUAGCCGGCCUGGGGGGGGGACCGGCCACAUUGGGACGGGGAUACGGCCCGAACUCCAACGGGGGGCAGCGGUGGGGAAUAUUGCACAAUGGGCGGAAGCCGGAUGCAGCAACGCCGCGUGCGGGAUGACGGCCUUCGGGUUGUAAACCGCUUUCAGCAGGGACGAAGCGCAAGUGACGGUACCUGCAGAAGAAGCACCGGCUAACUACGUG